Long non-coding RNA from Macaca fascicularis (crab-eating macaque), 1814 nucleotides. Lineage: Eukaryota; Metazoa; Chordata; Mammalia; Primates; Cercopithecidae. The record is from Ensembl.
GGUGUGAAUAACGUAUUGUUCAAUAUCUGUGGCAUACACUUACAUUUGUGAAUUGGAGGCCAAGCUUUGCAGUAAAACCUUUAUCCUUUGCUUUAAAAACACACACUCCUCAGGGGAGAAGGACCCCCUACUUCCCUAGUAUCCACCCUGAAAUUCAAAACCUGAUCAGAACAUAAUUGCUAUCAGUGUUCACCACAUCAACCUCACUCUUCAUGUUUUUGUUUUUUGUUUUUUAUAUUUAUUUAUUUACUUACUUAUUUUUGAGACAGGGUCUACUCUGUCAUCCAGGCUGGAAUGCAGUGGCAUAAUCUUAUCUCACCGCAGCCUCAACUUCCUGGGCUCAAGUGCUCCUCCUGCCUCAGCUCCUCAAGUACCUAGGACUAUAGGCACACACCACCAUGACCAGCUAAUUUUCGUUUUUCUUUUUUUGGAGAGACGGGAUUUUGCCCGGUUGCCCAGGCUGGUCUCGAACUCUUGAACUCAAGCAAUCUGCCUGCUUUGCCUUGGCCUCCCAAAGUGUUGGGAAUGCAGGGGUAAGCCACUGCACCCAGCCUGUUUUUCAUUUUAAAAAAAUUCUUGUGGCAACAGAGACUACAAAUGCUAAAGUUUCUGCAUGCUGCGUUUUGCUCAUAUGGUUCAGUUUCCCAUGACAUUUGCAAAUUCUCAAAACACAGAAGAAAAGAGUCAGGUGGUGUCCUCACAACACUUAUAGAGCAUCCUGUGUCUCUCCAGGCAGUGCCACAGAUACACAGACAGUAGAGGUUCAAUACAUGCUUUUCCUCUCAUUGAAUUCUUCAGGUAGUUCCUUAUAACCUGCUCUUAUUAAGGAGGUCUAAGGAAGCCUUGAGAUCUCUCCAGAAAUAGAGGAGCAUCCAAAAGCUUUGACACCAGGCUCCAAUAUUUCUGAUGGCUUUAAAGGACAUUUUUAGGACAGGCAGGGGGCCUUGAUAAGGCUUUCUAGUUAUAAGUCACGCAGACUUCCUUGCAGAAGCCUCAGACAGGGGAAAUAAGUUAAAUACAGCUGCUUCAGCCUGGGGUGCUCAAUAUUGUCUUUAAUGAUUAAAAAUGCUGACUCCAGUGGGAGCAGAGCACAUGCUGCAGAGAUUAUUAUGGUUUGAAGCAUUUUCUAUGUGAGUGGCAAGGGGCAGGGUAGGAGGGUUGGGGAGGAAGACCAUGAAAGAUGUAAGUGGAUUGAGCAGCUGAGCUGGUGAAGGACAGAGGCAGGCAGGAGAGGGUCUGGGAAGGGGAUGUCCAAUGUCCUCAGGAGCAAAGUUUUAAAAACUGAAGUCUGAAGUUGUUUUCCCUUCUGUAUGUAGCACCCACCAUCCAGUGAAGAAUGUUAGAGACAACAGCUUUCUGUUAGCAGUGCGCUGAGGGAUAGGAGGGAAGCCCGUGUCUGUGCUCUGGAGGGAAGUGGACUGGGGAGAGGUGUGAGCAUGAGAGGUGACUGAGGAAAAGGCUUCCAGUGUGGUGGGGAGCAAGAGGGGACAGUGGCAGCCAAAAUGGGCUUGUGGAACUUGUCAACAUGAUCCCUGGCUUCUCAGAAAUCCUAGGAGUUAGGGCUACAUUUCCUACAUCCAUGCAAGAUGGAGGAGGGGAGGUCAUUGUGAUAUGAUUUUUAAGGAAAGACUUGAGCUGGAAUAAUGAUAAACUAAUUGGAAAAAAAAUGCUGAAAUAGUCUGGGCACGGUGGUUCACAGCUGUAAUCCCAACACUUUGCGAAGUCAAGGCAGUAGGUUCACCUGAGGACAGGAGUUCAAGAACAGUCUGGGCAACAUAGUGAGACCCUGUCUCAAAAAAAAAAAAAAAAAAAAA